Molecule: non-coding RNA, 24 nt
Filed under: Mus musculus (house mouse)
Lineage: Eukaryota; Metazoa; Chordata; Mammalia; Rodentia; Muridae
Source: RNAcentral
UAGUCACUGUUUUAUGUUUAUUUG